RNAcentral lists this non-coding RNA (347 nucleotides) under Yarrowia lipolytica. RNAcentral's name for it is "Eukaryotic large subunit ribosomal RNA". It matches the Rfam family "Eukaryotic large subunit ribosomal RNA", at positions 3030 to 3399 of the family's 3401-position model. The record is from Rfam by way of RNAcentral. RNAcentral also lists the same sequence under 1 other name. Lineage: Eukaryota; Fungi; Ascomycota; Dipodascomycetes; Dipodascales.
AAGUCGCCUACCAUGGAUUUACUCCCACUCCUAGUUCACAUGGUGUUUGCUGCUGUCUGACCAGGCAAUGCAGCGAAGCACCACCCGCUGGGUUAUGGCCGAACGCCUCCAAGUCAGAACCCAUGCCAGAAGGGAAGAAUCAGGGGGAAGGAGGGAUAUGAAGAAGUACCGCAGUACCGGAGGGGGAGGGGGGGUGGAUAAGGAAACCGCCCGCCCCCCCCCGACUGGAAAGACCCACCCUUGUGAAAUCCAUUGUAGACGACUUUAGUAUGCGACGAGGUAUUGUAAGUAGUAGAGUAGCCUUGUUGUUACGAUCUAUUGAGAUUAAGCCUUUGUUGUUUAGAUUC